RNAcentral lists this small RNA (561 nucleotides) under Pongo abelii (Sumatran orangutan). RNAcentral's name for it is "retained intron". The record is from RNAcentral. Lineage: Eukaryota; Metazoa; Chordata; Mammalia; Primates; Hominidae.
GCGCACUGUGCUGCUCCGCCGCCAAAGCUCGCGCGGGGGAAGCGGGGCUGUAGCUGGGCAGGGAGAGGGCGGACGAAAUCGGCAGCGAUCUCGGCUGCGGCGCUGCCGCAGCUGCCCGACCCGCGGGGCGCGCCCUGACCCUUCCUCUUUGGGCAGGCUCCAGGGCGCGCGCACGGUCGGCGUUCCGGGGCCUCAAACUCCUGGGCCUUGACCGGGCAGGCCGCGUCUCCCCGGGUGUGAGUCCACCGGGACCCGGCCGCCGCCUAAGCGCUGGCGCCACAGAAGCGGCGGCGCCCGAAGACGCGCUCCUGGCUCGGCCCGACAGCCUCGCUUGGCCGCCAGUUCUUCUGCAGCCGAAGGCGGUUGUUCUUUUAAAGAAAUUUUGAAGACGAAGGUUUUUUUCUUUUUUUUAAUGGCUUUACAGAAUCUUAAAUAGAAUACAGUUUGACAUGACGGCAAAAAAUGUUGGUUUGACUUCCACAAAUGCAGAAGUAAGAGGAUUUAUAGAUCAGAAUCUCAGUCCAACAAAAGGUAAGGAUUAUUGAAUAAAAAUUUUCUGAA